Molecule: ribosomal RNA, 575 nt
Filed under: Clostridioides difficile
Lineage: Bacteria; Bacillati; Bacillota; Clostridia; Peptostreptococcales; Peptostreptococcaceae
Description: partial 23S ribosomal RNA
Rfam family: Bacterial large subunit ribosomal RNA
Source: RNAcentral
GGUCAAGUUAUUAAGGGUGCAGGGCGGAUGCCUUGGCACUAGGAGCCGAUGAAGGACGUGAUAAGCUGCGAUAAGCUUCGGGGAGUUGCACGUAAACUUUGAUCCGAAGAUUUCCGAAUGAGGAAACUCACUUAGAGUAAUGUCUAAGUAUCAUUAAGUGAAUACAUAGCUUAAUGAGGGGAACUCAGGGAACUGAAACAUCUAAGUACCUGAAGGAAGAGAAAGAAAUUCGAUUCCGUAAGUAGCGGCGAGCGAACGCGGAUUAGCCCAAACCAAUAAAGUUUUCUUUAUUGGGGUUGCGGACAUAUCAUAACGAAGAGGUAUCGUAAUUGAAGAGGUUUGGAAAGACCCACCACAGAAGGUAAUAGUCCUGUAUGUUAAACGAGAAGACUUUAGAUAUGAUCCAGAGUACCACGGGACACGUGAAACCCUGUGGGAAGCAGGAGGGACCACCCUCCAAGGCUAAAUACUACCUAGUGACCGAUAGCGUAUAGUACCGUGAGGGAAAGGUGAAAAGAACCCCGGGAGGGGAGUGAAAUAGAACCUGAAACCCUGCACUUACAAGCUGUGGAAGC